Molecule: ribosomal RNA, 373 nt
Filed under: uncultured organism
Description: partial 16S ribosomal RNA
Rfam family: Bacterial small subunit ribosomal RNA
Source: RNAcentral
GUAGGUGGCAAGCGUUGUCCGGAAUUAUUGGGGCGUAAAGCGCGCGCAGGCGGUUCUUUAAGUCUGAUGUGAAAGCCCACGGGCUCAACCGUGGAGGGUCAUUGGAAACUGGAGAACUUGAGUACAGAAGAGGAAAGCGGAAUUCCACGUGUAGCGGUGAAAUGCGUAGAGAUGUGGAGGAACACCAGUGGCGAAGGCGGCUUUCUGGUCUGUAACUGACGCUGAGGCGCGAAAGCGUGGGGAGCAAACAGGAUUAGAUACCCUGGUAGUCCACGCCGUAAACGAUGAGUGCUAAGUGUUAGGAGUUUCCGCCCCUUAGUGCUGCAGCUAACGCAUUAAGCACUCCGCCUGGGGAGUACGGCCGCAAAGGCUG